GGAAAUGAACGUGAAGGGAGGCACCAUUGCUCUGGAGAGCGGAAGAGAUUGCCGGAGAGGGGAGCUUCGAAUUUGGAAGGAAAAUAAAAGUGUCUGAUGGAGAAAGACUAAGUAGGGUUUGAGUAAGGAAAAAAACAAAUGAACAAACCAACAAAACAGAGCUCAUCGUCCUUUAAUGGGAAGAAUAUAGCCUUACUGAAUAAGAUCAGAAACCUGCAAAAGAACAGGAUGAGACAAAAGCACAGAAGCAUUUGGUGACUAAAAAACAACAGGAUGCCAGGCAAAGCUAGUGAGCAGAGACAAGACAGAGCAGGCUGAGAUAAGGACCACUUCCAAGUAAAUUAAAUGUCCAAUAACAACAUCAAGAUCUUCUUGGGACGACUAAAUGGAACCACCAACAUUACAAAGACAAAACAAAACAAAACAAAACCCCCAAAUCAAUAGUAAGGAAAAUGCAGCAGACGCUGUUGUGAAAACAGCUACAGCAUGACACCAGGUUGUCUGCAAACAGAAGCCACCUUUCUUUCGGGUAGCCACACCUCUGAGAAGUAGCCUGACCCCCGUCUGAGGAAAAAUCUCUGUUAAUGAUAAUCUCAUUCUGUUCACCGUGAUUGGCUUAGAGGAGGACACGUGACUUAGUUAAAUGCGAUGAGACCUGCAGGCAGGUCGGCUGGGGGCUCCGUAGAGGAGUUUGCUCAGGAAGAUGACCGCACCCGGAAGACAGCUCUUCUUCUAGAAGGUAAGUCUGUCUUACUAGUGGGAGGGGAACUAAUUUGAAAGCAGGCCCCCGCACUGCGCUUGGCAGGCUUCUGCUGGUUGGAUUUAAAAGAAUUCUGGUAUGGAGGACAAACAGGAAGCUCACGCCUUGUGAAAUAAAGAAAGAACAAACCAGGGGCACCUGGGUAGCUCAGUCGGUUAAACAUCCAACUUUGGCUCAGGUCAUGAUCUCACGGCUCGUGAGUUCAAGCCCCGUGUCGGGCUCUGUGCUGACAGCUCAGAGCCUGGAACCUGCUUCGGAUUCUGUGUCUCCCUCUCUCUCUGCCCCUCCCCUGCUUGCACUCUGUCUCUCUUUCAAAAAUAAAUAAACACUUAAAAAAUUUUUAAAAAGAACAAACCAAAUAAGUAUACUCCUUUAAAAUUUUACUUGAUAGUGUCCCUAAUAACCUGAAAAGUUAAUCAAGAGUAAGAAUUAAAAAUGAAAGGUGGGGCGCUGGGGUGGCUCAGUAUGUUAAGCUUCCGACUUUGGCUCUGGUCAUGAUCUCACAGUUCGUGGGUUCAAGCCUGGUAUAGGGCUCUGUGUUGACAGCUCAGAGCCUGGAGCCUGCUUUGGAUUUUCUGUGUCUCUUCUCUCUCUCUCUCUCUCUCUCUCUCUCUGCCCCUCCCCUGCCCAUGCUCUGUCUCUCUCUCUCUCUCAAAAAUGAAUAAACUUAAAAAAAAAUUAAAAAUCAGAGUUAGCAGAAGGCUGAGGGUGAACACAGAAAACAAAAUGUAAGCAUAAAAAUUGGUUUUAAAUGAUUGUGGUAAAUAAUAUGGUUCAAACACAUCAGGGGAGCUAUAUAGUUGAAUUAAAAUCAAUGUACUUAUAACUAAUUAAAUGAAAGAUUUACUUUAAUAAAUAGUAAUCCAAGUUCUAAAUGACAUAACUACAGACUGGGAAGUUAAGGAGCACUGGGAAUAAGCAUGGUUUGCUAAAUUCCUUGCUUAUGAAGGAAAAGUCAAAACACUUUUUGCAUACAUUUUCCAUCCUAGAAAUACAUAUCGAAGAAUAUUUCAUAAAAUAUUAAAGAUUGCCGCUAACAUAAGACCCUCUUAUAAUCUGAGUGUUACAGUAGGAGGAAAAGGUACAGACAGAUUAAAAUCUUCCCUCAGGGGCAUCUAGGGGGCUCAGUCGGUUAAGCGUCCGACUUCGGCUCAGGUCACCAUCUCACAGUUUGUGAGUUCGAGCCCCGCAUCAGGCUCUGUGCUGACAGUUCGGAGCCUGGAGCCUGCUUCGGAUUCUGUGUCUCCCUCUUUCUCUCUGCCCCUCCCCUGCUCAUGCUCUGUCUCUCUCUCUAAGAUAAACAUUAAAAAAAAUUGUUUUAAAUUAAAAAUAAAUGAAUAAAAUCUUCCCUCAGAAGAAAGGAUAAAUGAAUGUGCCAUUCCUCUCAAGAUGGGCAAGACCCCUCUUUGCCUAUUGUCCCUUUCACUGAAUUAUUAUCUGUGAAACCCUUGAAUGUGUGCCAAAUAUUUCUUGCUGUGCCCUACUAAUAAAACCAGUUAUCACUUUUUCUGUGCCCUUAAAACACUAAAUUUUCACUUCUUAAAAAAUUAUUUAUUGGGGCGCCUGGGUGGCGCAGUCGGUUAAGCGUCCGACUUCAGCUCAGGUCACGAUCUCGCGGUCCGGGAGUUCGAGCCCCGCGUCGGGCUCUGGGCUGAUGGCUCAGAGCCUGGAGCCUGUUUCCGAUUCUGUGUCUCCCUCUCUCUCUGUCCCAAAAUAAAUAAACGUUGAAAAAAAAAUUAAAAAAAAAUUAUUUAUUUACUUAUUUUGAGAGAGAGAGAGUGAGAGAGGCAGAGAGAAUCCUAAGCAGGCUCCCCACUAUCAGCCUGGUGCAGGGCUCAAACUCACAAACCAUGAGACCAUGACCUGAGCAGAAAUGAAGAGCCAGAUGCUUAACUGACUGAGCCACCCAGGUGCCCCCAAAUCUGCACUUUUAAAAAUUUUACACCAGGCAUUUAAGGGGAACAGAUCAUGGUGAUUUAUCUUUAGUUUUCAGAAGUUGAAUUUGGAUGUGUCUUUAUGUGGAUAUCUUUGAGUUUAUCUAUUUGCAAUUCUCAUAGCUUCUCGAAUGUGUGUGUUUACAUUUUUCACCAAAUUUAGCACAUUUCCAGACAUUAUUGCUUCAAAUUAUUCUUCAGCCUCACUUCCUCCCCCCUUUCUGGGCUUCCAACAAUAAACACUUUGGUACCUGUUCCACAUAACCACUAGAACGUUCUUUUCUUUGCAAUCUGUUUUCUCUCUUCUGUUCAGCUUGGAUACAUUCUAUUGAUCUUUCUGAAGACUUUAUUUUUUUUUAAAGAGAGAUGCGAGGAAAUCUUACUAAAAAUAUACUUCCUAGGUCUUGCCCUAAAAAUUAGUAACAUACUUUUCUUCCCCGAGCUCUUCAUGUAACUAGGUCCUCCUUAUUUUUCUGAUCCAGACUUAACCAUCACUUUUGCAGGGAGUUGUGCCAAGUUUACUUCUAUUGUGUUUUUUUGCACAAUCCAUAAUUAUGUUGCUUAUACAUUUUAGUGGCUUCAUUUGCUGCAUCCUCUCCUACAAAGCCAGUUCUGAAAUGUCAAAGACCGUGUCUUGCUUGCUACUGGUUGGCACAGAGUGGGCACUCGGCAAAUACGAUUUUGAAUCAAAAGAGACCAGCUACCCCAUAUAUGCACAAAGAGAGACAACGGGCAUGCCCCCCGUAUUUUAGUGAGGGCGCUGAAGCUGGACCAAGAAAAAGAUGGCACAUGUACCCACCACCCGGAGAUUCUAAGAUGGGUAGCAGGUAGCUCCUAAAGGGGGAGCCCACCUGUGGCCCCUCUUGCCUCGGUGUGCCUAGAUGACUCAAUAAAAUAAAUUUAUAAAACAUUUAAAAAAUUUUUUUAAAAAGGGAGCACCUGGGUGGCUCAGUUGGUUAAGCUUUGGACUUCGGCUCAGGUCAUGAUCUCACCAUUUGUGGGUUUGGGCCCUGCAUCGGGCUCUGUGCUGACAGCUCAGAGCCUGGAACCUGCUUCAGAUUCUGUGUCUCCCUCUCUCUCUCUGCCCUCCCCUACUCAUGCGUGUGUGUGUGUGUGUGUGCGCGCACAUGCGCACUCUCUCUCUUUCUCUGUCUCUCUCUCUCAAAAAUAAAAAUAAACAUUAAAAAAAAACUUUUAAAGAAAUGUUCAGACGAAGCCUAGAAAUCUAUCUACUGGAUGAAGGCACCAUUAAACAAGGCUUAAACGAACCAGCUCUAGGCAAGGAAGUACCACUGGUUAGGAUCACAGCUUGGGAGAAUGCUGGAUCUCAGCCUUGUCUCAGUUCCACCCCGCAGCAGUGGCAUGAACUCCAGUCAGAUACUGGACAUCGCUGGUCCCAAUUACUGUUUCAGAAUAUAGAAAUAAUACCAUGGCACCUCAUAAGGUCUCUGAGGAUUAAAUGAAUACUUCAGGUGUAGGCAUAAAACAACGUCCGGUACCACAGUCCCACUCAUCGAAAAUUAGUUGUUGUUCAUUUAGACCUGGGCUGAAUGAUCUUAUCCCAGAAAACAAGGCGGCUUGGGUUUAUGAAAGUUAAAUAGGCUAAAACAGAGUCGAGACCAGCAUACACAUUCCUAACCGAGCCCUUAUCUAGUAUCCUUCACCAUGCACUACAUGCCUUUAAUUUAGUCUUUGUUCUGUAAUGUGCUACUCUUCACUCACAGCAAACUAUGCAAAGUGUAGGGUCCAGAAGACACCCUGGGUUUUCCCCAAGGCACAGAGGUUGGCAUACAAGCUCAAACAAGGGUUCUGCACACUGAGAAACUCAGAGAGCCUACCUUCUAGGCGGGUUGAACCGAUGGACCAAUGGCCAGCAUAGAAAAUGCCUCAUAGAAAAUGAGAAAUUUACUCAUAGAAAAUGCCUUUUGUUCCUCCAAAGUUCCAUAGAAUUUUUUUUUCAUAGAAUUUAAAAAAGCAAGGCGGUGGGGGAAAGGCAAGUACAAAGGCCAGGAGGCACCAGUGAGUGGAGGCGACUGUGUUUUAUUAAUCCAUGCGAUUAAUCCAGCAUGCUAAGGAAGACUCUUUACAGAAUCAAAAUUUGUGUGAUUUUGAUCCACACAGAUUAGAAAACACUGUUGCAUUCACUUGCCAGUGCCUCCUUUGCUUUGUGCUUGAGUUGUAUUCUUCAGAGGCCGGUAGGAACAAAGGAGAGAGAGCAUUUAUAUGAGGACUAGCAGCACAGGCACUUUGACAAAUGUCCUUCUCCCCCUCCCUUUCUGCAAAACACUUCCUGAAUUUCCCAAGAACUAAUCCCUGGAUUUGUAUUUGCACCGUUUCCUCUCAAAAGCCAAAUGACUGGAAAUUGCCCCCAAAUGCAGAUUUCUGUCAACCCAUGAAAAGUGGUUUUCACCAAGGGAUGGGUGGAUGGCAAGUCUCACCCCAAGCUCUUUGCAAGAAAGUGGUGAGAACCGUACAUUUAAGGUUCCAGUGGGAGCCACCAUUUCCUCAUGAGGGCAAGUGACCUGAAAGAGUCUUGUCAGAAUCGGAGAGUUUUCUCACAAGUUUUAGUAGGAGAGGAAUGAGAGCCUCUGGAUAUGACAAAGAAAGAGCAAGAGAGCUUCAGGGACACAGACCCUGCAAGACCCAAUCAGCUUCAUCCGCCCUUAGUCGGCUAUAAUGUGAUUCUGAGAACUGGCAGGAGAUAUGUCUCCUUAUUUUGAAGCCAUUUCCUCUCUUAUGGGAAGAGCAGAAAUGAGUCUUCCCCAGGAAGCCUCUGUGGUCUCCAACACAGGGGUCCCCAAACUUGGUGAGACUUUUCCAGACAAUGAAUUGUGCUGAGGCUGAUAUCAGUGCCAACAGAAUAGUGGAGCAGGGUAGCGAUCACAGAAACCUUCCCAAAGCACACUUACGGAUGUGGGAAGUGCUACCCUCUCAGUUCUGAAAAGAGAAUGGUGGCUUCCCAGUGAAACUGGGUGAGUGUAGGAAAGUAAGAUCCCAGCUUGUUCCCCCCAUCCCAACCCCCAUCUUCCCAUGGUUCCCUUUCUCUACUGCAAAGACUGAGGCCAGCAGCAGACCUCCCAGGUGACAUGUUGAGAUCACCUGGUGACUAUCAAUCAACGUACCUCAUAGAAAAAAAAAAAAAAAACAACAGAAAGUUUAUGAGACUUCUGAUUAGAAAUAAUUUUACACUCUCCUUAUUUUUCUCAGGCCUCUCUCCCCAGUACCCAGCACAGUUGUUGACAGAGCAUUCAAUAAAUGUUUGUUGAAUUGUAUCAUAGAUCUUAUUACCAGUCAGCUACCUUGUCUUUGGUAAAUUCCUAACCAUCCCAUUAAAUUAUAAGCUCUUCAAUGACAACCAUCCUAAUGGAUUUAUCCAUGUGUCCCCCAAUAUCUAGCAGAAAACCCAGAACACGGUAGGUUUUUAGUAGGUGGAGGAUCGAAUCUGUGGUCUGUGACAUAAUCUGCUUAUGUAUAGUCUUGUUGUAUGGGUCUCAGGACCACAAUUUGUGUUUGUUGGUGCACACAUACAUGAACGCACUCUCGUCUGCAUUUAUUACUAUAUUGGCAUGCAUGUCUGGCUCUGAAAGGAGCAGCACCAAGGAAAAUGAGAAGUGGGAAGCCAUAAACUUUGGCUGGUCAUCGACCCUCCCAUCUGAAAAAUUUUUUAAAAAUCACUUCUAGAACAUUUUGCUGACUGACCAUCUGAAUUCCCACUGGUUGACUGACAACAUUUCAAAAUGGAGAACAGAUCACCAAGUCUCCUCCUCCUCCUGCUUUAUAGCAGAGAAGACUGAUCCAGAGAGUUUAGGAAGCUUGUGCAAGGUCACACAGCCAACGAUGGAGCCAAGCCUGGAUCACCAGAAGUCUCAUUUCCUCUUUGAGCCUCAAGUCUCAGCAGCCUACUUUGAGCUCUAUGACUCUGGGAAAACUAUUCUUGCCAGUGUUCCCAACACAUCUAGUUAUUAGAUCAAAUAAACAUUCUUAGUGUGUUUCUUACUCGUCUUUCCUUAGUAUUUGAUGACAGUUUCUCACUCCUUGUUGAAACCCAUUGCCUCCUUUAAGUGUCAUAACAAUAAUGCUAAUGAUUACUGGGUAUGUACUAUGGGCCAGGCACUGUUCCAAAAACUCUAACUAUAUUGUGAUAUUUAUCCCACACAAUAAACCUUAGGAAUAAACCUUAGGAGUUAAAUAUAUUAGUAUUCCCCCAUUUUAACUUAGGAAAGUUAAAGAAAAGAGAGGUUAAGAAACUUGCCCAACAUUACACAGCUAGUCAUUGGUUACUCUGGAAUUCAAACACAAAAAUCUAAAUAUCGAUUGGGUACUUCAAAUCGCCAUGCCUCUUGUUGGCUUCUGCUUCUUCCUCACCAUUCUAGAUCUUGCCUUCUCAAUUCCCCUCCCGUGCAUACUCCUUAAAUACUAUUUCUUUGAGUUCUGAUCUCAGCCCCCAGAUUUUCUUCCCUUUCUUAAUCAGGUCAUCUGCUCCCAAGACUUCCUUACAACCUUCUCAGGACUUCACAUAUUUUCCUCGAGUUCAGAGCUUUAUUCUAAGUGACAAACAAAUAAAACAUCUAUAAAUAUGCCCAUUUGAAUGUGUCUGUUCAGUUCCAUUAGAUAGAACGGUCUCCUUCGCUAACUUCUGCUCAGCUGAUAAGAAAAUAGGUUUAGCUUCCUUUUUCUCUUCAUGCCACUUGGGUUUGGUUCAUUUAGAGCAAAAAUAGCACUCUAAUUCCUUCUUGUUAUUUAAGUAAAUGUGCAUUUGUUGCUUUUAACCAAAAGGUUAGGUGUGUUACAAGAGGAACAUUCCAUCUGUCUGCUGAAGGGAAGAUCCUGGUUGCUUAGUAGGCCAGUUGGGACUCCAAAAACUCCUUCUUUGACCAUUGCCACCAUCCUGGGCCUGGCAUCUGACAUUGCGAUCAUAGCCCAGAAAGGAAAGUCCAAGGCUAAUGUUCUAUUGGUAACGUUAGCUGGAGUGACAACCUCAAGUUUUGCAUCAUCCAGGAAGGUAGGCUGAACUCAUUCAUGGAAAGAUGGAAGAGUUUCCUUCAGUAAGAGAGACAAGCCUCAAUGUACAAGUACUUUUCAACAUUCUAUUUAUGUCAUGUUUUCUAAGGUUCCAAUGGCCAGAAUAAGUCAUUUGGCCAAGCACAGACUCAAGGAGUGGGGAAAUGAGUUUUACCUCUUGAUAGGAGGAUUGAAAAAAAAAAACAUUUUAAAGAGGCAUACUUUUGGGGGUGCAAUGAAUUAUUGUAGCCAUUUUUGUAAUUUUGUGGAUUGUCCUUAGUCCACAAGAAUAGAAACUUGAAAGAUCCAGGGAUGUGAGAUUACUGGGGUUAUUCAAGGAACAGUGCGUUGAGAGGCAAAAUCUGGGAGAAGCCAUUUCAAGGGUGGAUGUGAUUGAUCUAGACUAAUCAAGAUGGCAAUCUCCAAAAUCUCCCAAACUUUGUGACUCUCUUUGUGUCUAUGAGGGAAAUAAGAUCUUAUUCUACUCUUUACUCUCCUCCCUAAAAUGAAUCCUCACUAAUUCUCCAACCAGGUAAGUGACAGUACCAUCAUCCAGUUGGUUCAAACCAAAGAAAUAAGAAUCACUCUGGAUCCCCUUAUCCUCAUAUCCUAACCAUCAGCAGGAUUAUUGGUUUUAUCCAUCUACAACUUAUUUCUAACUCCCGCCCACCUGCUCCCAUCUUACUGCCAUAGUGGCCAUCUGGUUCCCCUUCAUCUUUCACUUGGACUUUUACUGUAGUCUCCUAAUUGGUCUCCCUGCUUUCGCACUUGUUCCCUUUAUAGUUAAUUACCCAAAUGACAACACUGAGAUCAUUUAAAAAAGGAAAUCAGAAGAUGGUACAGCUCCACCCAAAAUCUUCAAUGGCCUCCCAUUACAUUUAGGAUAAUGUCCAAAUCUCCUCACUGCGACCUAAAAAGCUCUUCACAAUCUGCACUUUGCUUGCCUCUUAAUCUCAGUUUAUGCAACUCUCUUCUUUAUUAACUAUAUUCUAGCCACAAUGGUCUCUUUUUCUUUUUCCCCCCCCCCGAACACAUGAAAUAUACAAAUAGUGGGCAGAAUGUAAACUCUUCAUAGACAGCUUUCCUGACCUCCAUAUUUUAAAUACCCCCAGCCCUCUGCCGUGCCGGUUAUUCUUAUCCAUUAAUCCAUUUUUUUCUUAUCUUUUUCUUAUUUUUUUACAUUUUUGGUAUACAAGCUUUUUUCAUGUGGGUUUUACUGAGGCAUGAUUUAUAUAGAGGAGACCUCAUUCUUUUUAGUGUCCAGCUGUAUGAGUUUCAUCAAACACAUACAAAUUUGUAACCAUUUUCACAGUUAUGCAUAUGGCAUUCUGGAAAAGGCAAAACUAUAGGAACGUUAAAUAAAUCAGUGGUUGUCUCAGACUGGGGUAGAGGAGAAGCUGAUUGUGAAGAGGCAUGAGGCAACUCACCCAUCUUGCUUAUUUGUUUACUUGGUAAUUUCUGCCUUUCUCAAAAGACGCAUCCUAACAGGACAGAAACCUUGUAUGUCUCCAGAAGCUAGCAUGGGGCCAGUCACCAAAUAGGUGCUCAAUCUUCCUUUGUCGAAAGGCUUAAUGAAUAUAUAACCCUCCCCAAUUUGGCCCUCUCCCUCAGUCUCCAUCUGUAAUCCAUGGUCACGUCCUAUGGAUGUUACCUCUUAAAUGUCUCUCUUGGUCACUCCCUUUCCUCUAACUCCCCUGCUGUGUUUCUGCUCUCCUUGUUCCUCACUUAGAUGAUUGUAAUCGCCUCAAAAAUGGUUUUCCUGGCUGCAAGCUCGCCCCCUCAAUCACUGCCUAUGGCUGCUGCUAGGUACAAUUGAAUGACGUCACUCCUUCCUUUAAGAAAGAAAAAAGAAAUGCUUCCCCAUUGCCUUGCAACCGAACCAAACUAGCUCGACUCUCCUCUGCUCCCAGGUGCCUAACACUAACUGCCCUCCUUGCUACUUAUAGGGCUCUGCUCCUAUCUAGAUAUGGUUCCCAGGACCAAAGGCUGCUGCUCAUCUGUGCUGUUUAUAGCCAAGUAAGCCCCUCAUCUCUGCAGAGUCCCUGCUGUCUUCAUAUACCCCUCAAGGGGGUGCCCCUUCAAUCCCGGCAUGCCUGAAGACUUCAUGUCCCCAAAUUUAAGACAAAUAUCAACAUGGCAAGGAAUUUAGAGCUUUCAGAGCAAGCCAUGUAAUUGUUAGCCAUGAUGUUUCUCAAAGGUAAGGUUGCCCAUCAAAACCAUCAAAUUCUAGUAUACCGACUCUUGAAGCCACACACUUUUCAGAGACCAGUAGUGGCAAUUAUUUUCCAUCCUUUCAUUGUAUUUUGAAAAUAAAUAGGAGGUUGGAAUUGAAUUACAUCAGUUGGCUGGCACUAAGCCCAAAUUACUCUCUAUAAAACUAACGAAAGUGGACUGGGUCAAAAAUCUAAAUAAUUUUUAUUUUAUUUUAUAUUUUAUUUUUUUAUAAAUUUUAAUACAUGCCAUCAAGGCUCCAAAAUAUGAAAUCCUAAUUAUUUCAUUGGGAUUGGGGAAUUGGGGAGGGGAGAGGAUGAGGGGGAAUCACCAGGGUCCAUCAAGGAGACUGGCUAAAUUAAGGUAUAUUCUUCAAAUAUGUUACUCUGAAAUUGUAAGAAAAAGAAGAAGUAAACUCUCAGUGCACUGCUAUGUAUAGAGCCCCCAAAUUAUUAUGUUAAGUGAAGACAGCAAAGUCCAGACUGCUGCAGCUUACCUGCACGCUUCUAUUUGCUCAUAUACACACGUUUAUUUGUGUAGAGAAAACGUGGAAGGAUUCCCAAGAAACCAGGAAAAGUGGCUUCCUGUGGGGGAAGGGGAAUGAGGCAGACUGCAGCAAAGGGGAACAAUACCUCUUUAUAUUUGGGGUUUUGAACCAGGUGAAUAUAUGUCUGCCUUCCACUCAGUUUCCUAACGUGUUGUUAAAAAAAAAAAAAAAAGAGUUUGAGUGGGCAUCACAGUGUGAUUCUCAACAGAUCUCAUUCAAAUUGCAUUACUCCAGGUCUUUGAAACUAUCGUUAAAUAAACAAAACCUUUCAAAUAAUCCUGGUAUCUACACAUAAGCAACAGACUUGUUGCUAUAUAAAUACAAGUAAAUAAAUAAAUACAUUCUAAAAUGAUACAUUGUCCAAAUGAGAGUGUAACAAUUAUCAGCCUUAUCAAUUGCCCUAAAAACUUAUUUUCUCUUAGGUAGGAAACUGGACAUGUAAAUUCAUUUAUCUUUUCAGGUCAGCGAAAUAGUCCAAAGUUGUCAUAAUACUUUAGGUGGCCGCCUUGUAUAGAAUAUAAUUAAUGCAUGUAUGUAUCAUUUUGGCUUGACACAAAAUGUCAAAGUAAAAUGUCCUGUAUCAAUUUAUUUGGGGAAACUAUGCCUCCCACUGUCCUCUCCACCCACCCACCCCUCACACACACAUGUAUUUUGUGUAAUUAAUGCAGCCGUCAAGGUUAAAUGCCAAAGUACCAAAAGUUGACCGGUGUGCUCUAUUCGCCCACAAACCUGAUUGCUCCAGAAAUGAACAUGAGACUCAAGUCUGGCCAAGCAGAAUCCCUGGGUGGGAGGUGAGGAUUGUUAAAGAUGCAGAGCAAAAGAAGGUUUCUCUGCUUUUCAAAUUAGAAGUUCUAAGGAUUUUAUAAGCCUGUGGCUGCCAGGACCCAUUAUUGCUAUCCAUUCUGAAAAUAAACCCAAAGUGAGAAUUAUAUCAAAUGGAGAUUUAAAAAAGAAAGAAAGAAAGAAAGAAAAUUGUGAUAAUAUCAGUGAAGAGUGGAGCCAGCCAUGCUUUGAGCCAGUCCGUCCCGUGGAUUUACCAACUUCAUAAGCCAAUGAAUUCUUCAUUGUUGCUAUUUGAAACAUAUUUCAAAUGCUCCUCAACAAAGUCUUUAUGCUUUUAUUUGUACAUAUUCUAGAGUUUCUAAAGAAACUCUGGUCUUUCUUGGGAUUGUUUCUUAAUUUACCUGAAAAUGCAGAAAACAACAAAUUCUUCAUGUGAUCAGAGAAUCUGAAGGAAGGUAAGCAAGUUCUCUCAUGAGAAGUGCUGGGCUAUAAGGUAGAGGGGAAAUAUACAAAAUAAAAUUAGGUCUCUGGUUCCUAAAAUAAUCCAUGCCAUCUGCCAUUCUUACUUCCAUAAGUAAGUGAUAUUUUAAUUUUUUUUUUGCUUCUUUAUCCUUUAAAUAAGAUGAUCCUGAAAGCAAUGAACUUCCAUUACCUAUACAUGCACAUCCUUCCCAUAUAUUAUAUUCAUGCAGCUAAUUAAGUUACUUAUCUGUCCAUUCAACGUAUUUUUACUGAGUUAUACUACAUACUAGACAUUAUUCUAGAAACUGGUAAUAGAUGAAGUCUCUGUCCUCAUAAAAGUGACAUUCUAGUGGAGAUGACAUAAAAAUAAAUAAAUACAUGUAUAAUAUAUCUGAUGGCAAUUGUUUUAUUGCUAAGAAGAAAAGCAAGACAAGGUAAGGGGGAUGGAAAAAUGUUAAGGAUAGUGUACUAAUUUAUAUACAGAAAUAAGAGAUGCUUUCUUGGACAAGGGGGCUUUAAAGCAAAGAUUCGAAAGCAGAGACGGGGUAGCCAUGUGAUUUCUUGAUGGGGGUAAUUCCAACUACAGUCACAGGGCACAGGGAGACACAGGCCAUAGGGAAGGAAAACAGAAGAUUGAAGCAAAAGGAGGUUUCAGGUUGGGCUUUGCCUUCUUGAAAUAAUAUUAUAAAAAAUAAAAAUGGAAAAUAAAGAAGAGAAAGGUAUCAGAUAAUUAACAUGAAUCAGGUCAUAAAUUAGGACAAUCUGAUUCAAUUUUAAAUAAAACAAUUCAGCAAACAUGUAGUCAGUUCUAACUUCCUAUUAAUGUUUGUGUGUGAGAUAGGUUGCUUGGAUAUGAUUGGGUAUUAUUGUUUGGAUGCUGUAUGUUUAAGGUGGUGUUAACCCAGUGGAUCUAUGAGUCCAAACCACUCUUGCAUGAGGAAUAGGAUCUUACCUGAAAGGUGAAGUUUUCACCUCACACCCAUACUCCCCCAGCCCAUCCAUUCCCUGAGGAAAAGGCUUGUAUUGCAAGCCAGAACCUUUACACAGAGAAGGAGGAUCUUAGGAACUCUUCCUUGGCCAUGACGACAAACCAAGGAGCAGGGCAGACCUGCAGGGAUGAAACUUAAGAGGACACAUAAUCUGUUAAAAGGUGGGAAGAGGGCCAGGAACUGAGUACCCCAGGCCAGCUGCCCCAGCAACAGGGUGUGAGAGAUUAACUGAGGCAAGCUCAGAAACCUGUAGCUUAUAAAUUUCCUCCACUGCCAGCAUUUUUUCUAGCAGUAUUUGUUCCAUCUUAAGUCAAGUCUUUCUGAAAAUCAUCUUAGAUGAGCUAAGGGAAAUGAAAGGGAAGGGCUUUCUACAGUUGUAGAGAGGCAGGGGUAGCUCAGGGGUGAAGUAAGAAACCUCGAGAGAACGUGAAAUGAGAAGGAACUUUUCAUAGCUGGGUGAGUACUGCUGAUUACCUGAGAGCACCUCUCCGUGGACAAACCUUGGAGCUAAACGUUCAGAGCGGGGACUGCCAAACAGUGAAGGUCCAUAUGGAAACCUCACCUCCACUCCUCUCCACCCAGGGGAGCUGGGACAACUCACCCUCCCCACUCCUCCAUUUCUACCUUUGCAAAAUGGGCCUAAUAUUACCUCACAAACACCAUCGUCCAUGUUUUGCUGAUGAAAAAUGAACUUGCCAAGUCUGUGUAAGUAGUCAGCGUUAAAGACAGCAUCAAAUCUACUCUUUCCCACUCCCCAGCCCGUGUUCUUAACCCCGCACCCCAUUGCUUCCCCAUCUUAUUGGCACAACCAGCAGUUUAGACAGCCAAACCAGAACCUAGAAGGUCACUGUGGCCUCCCCCAACUUUCUUGACCCGUAGAUCCACUCAUAACUGAAUCCUGUCAGCCUCAUCACUUCUCGGCCUUUUGGCUAAGAUCAAGCGUGAAUCCUAUCAGCCUUACACUCUCAGUAUCCUUCAGACCCAUUCCCCCCUACAGUCCUGUCUUAGCUUCUCCACCCAUUUCCUGCCUGUGGUUCACCUCACUGGGAUUCCCUUUACACCUUCUCUUUCUACAACCCAACAUAAUAAAUACAAUAAUAAACAAAGCACUCACCUUCUUAACUGUUCAAUGGUUUGCCAUCAACUAACUGAUGAUCAACUAACUUUAGUAUGCAUAAAUAUCACCUGGAGAACAUGUUAAUGCAGAUUUUGAUUGGGGUGCCUGGGUGGCUCAGUCGGUUAAGCCUCUGACUCUUGAUCUUAGCUCAGGUCAUGAUCACACAGUUUGUGAGAUCAAGCCCUGCGUCAGGCUCUGUGCUGACAGCUCAAAAUCUGCUUGGGAUUCUCUUUCUCCCUCUCUCUCUGUCUCUGUCUCUGUCUCUCUCUCUCUCUCUCAAAAUAAAUAAACUUAAAAGUAAAUAAGGUGCAGAUUUUGAUUCAAAAAGUUGAGAAGGGGGCCCAGGAAUGUACAUGGCUAACAGGUGUCACACAGGCGAUUGGUACAAUAAUAUGUGGAUUCUUCUUACUCAGAGUCUGUCCAUGGACCAGCAUUAUUAACAUCAUCUGGGAGCUUGUUAGAAAUGGAGACUCUGUGGCCUGGCCUUAGAAUCAGAAUCAGAAUUUUAACAAAGUUCCCAGCUGAUUUGUAUGCAUGUUUUUUUUUUAAUGUUUUAUUUUGUUUAUUUUUGAGAGAGAGAGAAGGAGACAGAGGGGGAGGUGCAGAGAGAGAGGAGGAAAGAGGAUCCGAAGUGAGCGCCACGCUGACAGCAGGGAGCCCAAUGUGGGGCUUGAACCCACGAACCUUGAGAUCACGAUCUGAGCUGAAGUCAGACACUCAACUGACUAAGCCAUCUAGGCAGCCCUGAUUUGUAUGCAUAUUAAAGAAGUAGACUACACGUUGAUCUAAAGAAUCAAAUAUAAAAUCUUUUCCGUGGUGUGAGAGGCCAGUCAUGACCAGCAUUCUUGCUGUGAUCUAAGUUUGACACACUGGGGAAACUGAGGCACCAAAAGCAGCUGUCUUCUUCACCUUGGUCACCCCAGUGCAUAGCACACUCCCUGCGGCAAAAGACAUGCUGCUUUAUUGAUACACAUGGAGUCAAAGUGAACUACAUUAACGCAUAUUUUUAAACAGAUUUUGAAGUACAGUAUUACAGCCGUAUUAUAUCUUCGUCAAGGUCUGAUUUAGCUGGAGUGAAAAAGAAUGGAGGGAGCAAAGACGAUCAGUGUCACGAGCCAGAUACAUUUUAUUCCUUAAAACGCUGAACGUGUUGUCACUGGGCGGGGGAGGGGAGUACUCAGUUCCACCUCUGAAGUCCUUGCUGUUCGCAGUUGAUUUACUGCCUGAAGUCAAAUCCAUGCUCUAUAUAUUAAGGCACAGCCCCCACUUUUUUUGUGUUUUGUUUUGUUUAAGAAGAGCAAACUUUCCCCACAAAGAUACAAGAACAGUCAAUAUUGAUCUUCUUGACGGAUGGUGCACCUCACGCCACAGGCCUCUCGAGCAUCUGCUCAUUACCACCCAGCCCUCCCCUUUGUGGGGGAAUAAUGCCAAGUGGCCUCCUGUGCUAUCGGCCGCAGAUUGCAAAUAUUUAAAAGAAAUAAAUUUCUCUGAAUGAAAAGCACCUUUCAUUGUUCUCCAACCCCCUCUCCUCCCAAGUCAUGUUGAUUUUGGGGCAGUGCCUACUGCCAGCACCUGUACUGUUCAAUUGUUUGCUUGCCAACAUCACUGUGGUUUUCUUGCUUGGGCUUAGGAACCAUUCUAAGUACAGUAGCCAAUGACGGUGACUUUUCUUUCUCUCCUGGCAAAAUCUAUAGGGGAAGCAUCAACUUCAGGACACCUAGCAGCAACUGUAAUUAGAGACACGGGAAGAGAGGAACAGAAAUUGGGGCUUCUCUGUCUGAGUAUGUGUCCCCACAUGAUAAUGAAAAUGGACCACCGCUGCAGUCCGGAAAGAAAGGUUUGGAUUUCCUCAAUACCGUAGUAUUUGGCAGAGAGUGCUUAAACUUGAUUUUGGGAAAUCCAAAACCUUCCUUUAACUGAACGUGAAGACCCACAGUAAGAAAUAAGGAUGGGAUUUCAGCAAGAGGAAAUUCGAAUUGUGAUUGAAAAUAGCCACUUAGAAUAUUACCCCGGGGGUCUAAAUAUAAAUAUACAAUAAAAAGAUUAUUUCUUCUAUGUGAAGCAUUACCCACCAUUUGGUGAAGUAGGAUCAUACCCUGUGUGGUCUUAAUCACUGCUCUUAAUCUCUUCCCACUCAGCAUUAGAGUAAAAUGCACUGCAGCCAGUCACUGUGACUGGCAAACGUUGAUGAAAAACUGAGUGUAGGGACAGUCUACGUUUAAAACUUUAGCCCUUUCUCUAGCCCAAAGCUGACUUCUCACUCAAUGAGAGGGGUACACCCUCCAUUACCAUCACCCCUGGGGAAGGCAUUUGUUACUUUUCAGACUCUACAUACUUUUAUUCUACUUCUAGGAACAAGUAUUUAGGCAUCCAUGUGACUCCAAAUAUUUUUUUUAAGUUUAUUCAUUUAUUUUGAGAGACAAAGAGAGCAAGCGGAGCCAGAAAGAGAGGGAGAGAGAAACCCAGCCCAAUGCAGGGCUUGAACUCACAAACCAUGAGAUCAUGACCUGAGCCAAAACCAAGAAUGGGAUGCUGAACCGACUGAGCCACCUGACUGAGCCACCCAGGCACCCCUACGUGACUUCAAAUCUUGAUCCGUGUGGUUUACAUUGAGUGCUUCCCCCCAGACUUCAGGGAUAAAGCAAAUGCCCACAUCUGAUUACAAUAGCCCAUUACAUUUUGUUGGCUGCAGGGAUUGAAAUUCAGAACCAAUGGGAUAUCAUGAGGUUUUGUUGAGACUUCCAGCAUCAAGGUUUGACAGUGGGACACUACAGACUCCGGGGCCACCACCGCCACCUUACCAAUGAGGCAAGCACAUGUUGGCUUUGAAUUGCUUUUUGCAUAGGAUGGCUUGAGUUGGGUGAAGUGUACUCUCUUGACUGUUCUGCCUGGUGCCCAGGGACCUGUUUGUGAUAUGAGGAUUCUGUGGUCAUGGAAUGGUUUAUUUCACUCUUGGUAAAACUGAUCAAUUCUGAUAAAGAUAGUACUGAUACUGAUAAGGAUGAGGCCCACUUUGCCUUAGUUAACAUCAUUCUCCAAUUAGCUGGGCCCAAAAAUCCUAGGUCAUUUCCUUAGCCCCCAGAUGAAAAAGAUGACAUUUGCUACAAACCCUUACAACUAAAAUAAAGGGGUAUUUUUCUGUUGUCAAUAUAUGGACUGAACCACAGUGUAAGGAGCUAAAACCAGCCUCCCUAUGUGCAGUGAGGUAGGAAGAUCUACAUGGAAUUGCAUAACAAGUGUUUUGAAUUAUAUGAAAAACAUCAAGCCACUUUUAGUUUCUUGUAAGACCUUCACAAAUUACAGAAAUGUCCAGAGGAAACCUGAAAAUACCAUUGUAUAAAUUUAAAUUUAAAAUUAAAUUCAGAUUUACACAAAACAGAUUUGUAUGAAGAGUUAAAUAUUUUUAGAAAAAUUGUCUGCAAAAAUCAUCAACUCUAGGCAUACUAAAAUUUAUAUUUCAAAACAAUUUAUCAUAAAUGUGUCCCAAUGUUGUCACCAUCUCUAAAAAUACUCUUAACAGCUUGAGUAACAGUUGCAUAAGCAUAAAAAUUCUUCUGAAAAUUAAAAAUUAUAAAAACUUAUUUGCAAUUUUGGCUAUCCAUUGAUAUUUAAUAGUAAGGCACUACAAGCUAUCUGCAAACUCUAGAUUCGCUUGUUGAUUACCUGGCUUCACUGUUGCAUCACAAGCAGUGAGCUUGACUUUCCCAUGACAGAUCCCUCAAGGUCAGAAUGUGAAGGGCAUUUCUCUGGUUUCUCCACAGAAGAAUGCUCCAGGAAAUAUUUUUCUGGUUGAUCGAAUUCUGGGAAUAGACCAGGAAAAAGGGUCUGAAGGUCCCACAGACUACCACCUAAAAUUUCAAGAAACCCCUAUUUGGAGAGUCCACCUCAUCUCUGAGCCCACUGUCCCUGGGUUGAGAGCCACUCUGCCUUAAUUUUGCCAGAGAAUAAAUCCUUGUCUGACUCUGCAAGGGUGAGCAAAGGAAAAAUGGAGUUCUGGAUCCAGACUGCCACCAGCCUCUUGUUUUAAGCCCCUUGCUCCUUUCCUGCUUUAGACGCUAUGUGAAACCUUCAAGUCCCAGGUUUCUUGGUGGUAGAAUGAACUGAUUCACUUCUCCUUGUAGGACCCCCAUGUAGACUUGUGUUGGGAAUCACUCCAUUCUCUUAGGUCAGCGACCACAUUUUAGCCAACUUCACAGCUUUCAAAAGAAUUGUUCAAAUUGUUCACUUGAUGUUAUCUCCUCUCUUUGUUUUUCUUUCUGGUGAGUGAAUGCAUUUUGUUUAAAAGCAGUGGUUCCCAAUUAUUUUCAAAAUCACAUAAGACAAAAAGUAGAUGGCAUUUGUAGGGAACACUGGGGUAAAUGGAUAAGACUAUUCAAGGCCAAGGCCAACUGGUCUGACUUUACUUGCUAUCCCAGCCCUCAUAACACUAUCAAGAGGACUAAAUAGAUUAAUAUCUCUGCCCACCUGUGACCCAUUUGCAGCAUACCAUCUGAGAGGCUUUGUUCUGUUGCUAAUUCUGCGGCGUUUGGAGAGAGGGAGAGGAGAUAAGUAGAUGUGGUCAGUCUACCAUGUUUAACCAGCCACCCCUCACUGCUCAGUCUCCUACAUUAUCCAGGUUAGAUGGUAUUUUUCCCCCUGUGGUCAUCCAUUUCAUAGUCCUGGAGGAUCCAUCUAGCUUUUCCAAAUGGCAUCUUCCUGAUACUUCCUGCCAGGAGCACCAUAGGCACUUAUGAUUGCUAUCCCAGGAAGUAGUAAAAGUGAUGCUUCUUACCCCAAUACCUCCAUCUAAAGCAAAUACCUAGCUCCAUGAUAACUCUUAAAUCGCAGGAGCCUGAACUCCAGACAAAUCCAAUCCAGUCUAGUCCCUGGUAACUGGAGAAAGAGGGCAUCUAGCCCAGCCAAUGAAAUAGAACUGCAAUGAAGACAAAGGAAAUAAACCAAAAGAAACUAACAUACAUACCAUUUGGUGGGACAGUACAACAGAGUACUCAAGAUCAUCGGAUUUGGAAUUAAUGGUAUCUGUGUUGGAAUCCUGCCUCCACCAUUUACUGGAUAUGUGAUCCUAGGAAAAUUAUUCUAUCUUUCUCAAUAUCUUCAAUAUUGAGAUAUCUUCAAUAUCUUCCUCUGGAAAACAGAUGGAAAAGUAAUUCCUGCUGCCAUGAAUGUUUAGGUGAUGAAGCAACUACAAAGCACCCAUAGCACAGAGGUCAUGAAGGAAUGAGUGGGGAGAAAAUAUUAAUGAGGGGUUGAAAGGAAAAGCAUAAUAUUCACAAAGAAGAAAAGAUAGGGUCUUGGAAAAAAAUACCAUUAAACGGAGAAUGAAAGGGAUCAAGGCCACAGUCUACAAACACGCUGAUACUUAGGACCCCACCAGCCACAGAGAAGCAGGAUAUAGAGAGAUAUGCUAUGUAUAAAAUAGGACAUAUGUAUAUAUAUGUGUGGGGGAUGUGUAUGUGUGUAUACAUUUGUCAACAGCACUGAGGUCCUUCUAUGCAAUAGAAGUUCUAGGAAUUAGCUUCGAUGUUGUUUUCCAGGAAACUAACAAAGUCACCAUCUUCACUUAGUUACUGAUUAGCCCUUCAAAUAGGGUCAGGUAUCCUUGCCUUCUUUUUACAUGACCAUAAAUAAAAAUACAACCGAUCUCUCAUUUUAUCCUCAGAUGCCAGCCCACACACUAUUCUAUGUAGCACAAAGGGCCCAACGUGAAUAUUUAAAACUAAUACAUUGAGGGAUGUAUGUGUAUGUGUAUAAGGCCAGACCAUCACACACUUACAACUAUGUGCCCUAACUUGUCAAAAAAAAAACCUACUAAAGUGGAAGAAAAUAAAUAAAAGGUCAACACCUUGACAGCUAUGGGUACAUACAUUAUUAAGCCUAAAGGUGUCACGUCUCAAGGAAACGUAAACUGAAGUUCCUUUCAGGUUCUCCUUAGGGCUGGGGUUUUAGAUUGUACUCGGACAAAGGAAUCAUAAUUCAAUUAUCCAAAGAUUUAUUACAAAACACUUUGCCCACACUGGAUAUUUUGAUGUGUAAACAUCAGAGUAUUACACUCCCUGUAUCCCAGGCUUCACAUUUCAGAUUUCAUUAGCCAAUAAAGCCAGGUUUAUUUAUAAUAAAGUUAAGCCCUUCAAACCACUGACCAUGGAAACCAGAUUUUGAAAUAAUUCAGAUUUGUGUUUCUGUUCUUUCUAAUUAAGGGUAAUAUCGGGAAGCACAGACAGUGGGUAGCAUUGUUCGAGCACCAUGGAUUUAAGCAAGAAAAUCUGAUUAUCAGCUCAUGUCAGAAGCCAAGCGAUAAUGCAGCUUAGCAUUCGUUUGGGCUUUUUCUUUGGCCAAAAGAUAAUUACCGUUCGUGAGGCCUUACGUAAGUGUAUCUAAUAUCUAAGGCCCUAAAAUUUAUGAAUAGCAAAGACACACAAUAGGCAAAGAAGAAUUACUGUAUUUAUUAUUUCUAUGGCUUGUUCCACCAUGAUAAUUUCAUUAUCUAGCAAAGUCAAACCUCGAAAAUCAAAGUAUAAUUUCUUAAAGGACAAGAGUUAAAUACGCUGGCAAGGUUUUUGGCCCAAUUUCCUCUGGUGAAAGUUAUUUCUAACAAAUAAGAAGUAGACCAGCCAGAAUUCUAAUAGGAAGUUUACCAAAGGGGAUUCAGAGUUACCUAUUGAGGCCAUUGCACAAACAGAUGUUAAGCUUCUGCCGUGAGAUUUUUUUUUCUUUCGUAAGGUGUUAUUUCUUAAUCCUGUGCUGUUGAAAAUAAAUAUGAUGCUUCCUACCAAACAAUACCAAAAACCUGAAGACUGAAAAGCACUUCUUGGCAAAGCUGAUCGUGUCAGAGUGAGCAUUGCUGUAAUACAAGCAAGCAACCUGAGCAUAUAUCAUGCAGAAUAAAUUUGGGGAACUCAGAGGGAUAAAGUUAUUUGAAAUAGGGGUUAGAGGUUUGAUAUAUAAGCCCAUAUCUAAUGAAGAGGAUGAAAAGAAAAUCAAGUUGUGAAAUUUCGGAAAUUUCAAAAAUUUCUAAAUUUCUAAAAUUUCAGACAAGAAUGUUGAGAUCCUCCAAAACAUGAAGAGUCACCUGCUUUUUAGAAGAAAAAGCAUGCUUGUCCUUCUCUAUAGAUUUUUAUUUUUUUUAGGAGUAGCUUUUAUUAAUGAUCUACUACUCAUUAUAAACCAGUAGCAACAAACAUUUUAUUGAGUACCUGGUAUAGACCAGGCAUUGCUUUAAAUACUUUAGACAUAGGAAUUCAUCAAAUCCUUAUGGCAACCCGAUGAAGCCAAUACUUUCCUCUCCCCAUUUCACAGAGGAGGAAAAUGAAUCCCACAGAGGUGCAGUAACUGCCCAAAUGGCUCCCACUGUUCCAAACACACACACAUACAAAUAUAUCUAACAAAAUCUCAAUUUUAGUCAUCUUCAUAACUGGAUUUGGUUUUAGAUAUUAAACUUCUAAACUUUAGCUCAAAUAAUUUUUCCCCUGGGGCUUCCAGAAUUUAUUCUGUGUGAUUUAUACCCAGGCUACUUGUAUUACAGCAAUGCUCCCUCUGACACCAUCCUGAAGCCAAAGGUUCCUUAGGACUGGUCAGGGUAGUUCUGUGGGCUCAGGCCUUAACAAUGAGCGCUCCGACCUGGGGCAGAUCACUAAGCUCUCUGUUAAACAGAAGUCAAAUGGGAACAAUGGAAGUAGGAGAGGGGAUGAUAACAGAACUUGAUGGAAGGAGAGAAGUGUCAGUACCUGGGCCUGGUGGCCCUACAGCCUCCUGCUGCCAGACUCACAGAUCCACCAGUAAGGAAUCAUUGGUGCUUCAGGCUGGGUCCACCCUGUGGACUUCCUAUUUUCUAUGUUUGCUUUGAUCACUUUUUGAUUGAUUCCCCAUGCCUUAACUUUUCCUCUUGAAUUUUUCUUGUUUUUUUCUUUUUGCCUUACACUCUGGGAGAUAUUUUGCAACUUCUUCUUGCAGUCUUCUGUUAAACUACUUACUUUUAGCCGGCAUAUAUUUGAUUCCAUGAGCUCUUUCUACUUGCUCCGUGCUUCUUUUUCAAGGACAGAGCUGUUCUUAUUUUAUAGAUUUCCUCAGCAUUCCCCAGAAGGCGCUAAUUAGAUAUCUCCUAAAGUGAAAAGUUUCUUCUGGCUUCUGAAUUAUAUCAGUUUCUUCGAAUGUCAAUUUCUCUAUUGGGUCUUCUUGGUCCUUUUUGUGCCAUUGGCUUUCCUUAAAUUCUGGUAGUUCUUGGUAAAGGCAUACCUCACUUUAUAGCAUUUUGCUUUAUUGUGCUUCACAGAUAUUAUAUUUUUUACAAAUUGAAGUUUUGUGGAAACUCUGCAUACAACAAGUCUAUGGGCACCAUUUUUCCAACAGCAUUUGCUCACUUCCUGUGUUCGUGUCACAUUUUGGCAAUUCUCAUAAUAUUUCAAACUUUUUAAUUAUUCUUAUGUUUGUUAUAGUGAUCUGUGAUUGACGAUAACAACUCACUGAAAGCUCAGAUGAUGGUUAGCAUUUUGUAGCAAUAAGGUAUUAAUUAAGGUAUAAACAUGGGGUUUUUUUUAGACAUAAUGCUAUUGCACACUUAAUUCUGUAUAAUAACAGAAUUAUUAUACUAUAUAAUAGUAUAGUGUAAACAUAACUUUUAUAUGCACUGUAAACAAAAAAAUUCAUUUGACUUACUUUAUUCUGAUAUUCACUUUAUUGCAGUGGUCUCGGACUGAACCCUCAAUAUCUGCAAGGUAUGCCUGUAUUGUGAAUAAAAGCCUAGUUGAUGAAUUUCCUUUCUGUUUGUGCAAAUGUGCUUCUCUUAUUAGAGAAUUCGGGGUUUCUUCCCAUGACCAUGAGCUUGGUAGAGGCAGCCAAGACAUGUGAACCGACUGGCUUCACUUCUGGGUGGGNNNNNNNNNNNNNNNNNNNNNNNNNNNNNNNNNNNNNNNNNNNNNNNNNNNNNNNNNNNNNNNNNNNNNNNNNNNNNNNNNNNNNNNNNNNNNNNNNNNNNNNNNNNNNNNNNNNNNNNNNNNNNNNNNNNNNNNNNNNNNNNNNNNNNNNNNNNNNNNNNNNNNNNNNNNNNNNNNNNNNNNNNNNNNNNNNNNNNNNNNNNNNNNNNNNNNNNNNNNNNNNNNNNNNNNNNNNNNNNNNNNNNNNNNNNNNNNNNNNNNNNNNNNNNNNNNNNNNNNNNNNNNNNNNNNNNNNNNNNNNNNNNNNNNNNNGGGGCGCCUGGGUGGCGCAGUCGGUUAAGCGUCCGACUUCAGCCAGGUCAUGAUCUCGCGGUCCGGGAGUUCGAGCCCCGCGUCAGGCUCUGGGCUGAUGGCUCAGAGCCUGGAGCCUGUUUCCGAUUCUGUGUCUCCCUCUCUCUCUGCCCCUCCCCCGUUCAUGCUCUGUCUCUCUCUGUCCCAAAAAUAAAUAAACGUUGAAGACACCAGUUCUUAUAUGAAGAGUCCAGGUCCUCCCCCAUUAAACCUCUCAGGGUUUUUUUUUUUUUUUAGAAAAAAAUAUGCUUCAGUUUUAUACUGGAGAGAAGACUCUGCCUGAAAAAUCAGUCCUGCCUUCUCAUCACUCUCUACAGGUGCAGUGACCUACUUGAUGGAGGAGUUUGGAGGAAAGAA
RNAcentral lists this long non-coding RNA (23382 nucleotides) under Lynx pardinus (Iberian lynx). The record is from RNAcentral. Lineage: Eukaryota; Metazoa; Chordata; Mammalia; Carnivora; Felidae.